UAGUCCACGCCGUAAACGAUGAUUACUAGUUGUUGGCGAUAGACAGUCAGUGACCAAGGGAAACCGAUAAGUAAUCCACCUGGGGAGUACGCCGGCAACGGUGAAACUCAAAGGAAUUGACGGGGGUCCGCACAAGCAGUGGAGCAUGUGGUUUAAUUCGAUGAUACGCGAGGAACCUUACCUAGGCUCUAAUGUGAGCGAAUUAUACAGAGAUGUAUAAGUCAGCAAUGACGCGAAACAAGGUGCUGCAUGGCCGUCGUCAGUUCGUGCCGUGAGGUGUUGGGUUAAGUCCCGCAACGAACGCAACCCCUAUUAACUGUUGCCAGCAUAUAAUGAUGGGGACUCUAAGAAACUGCCAGCGUAAGCUGUGAGGAAGGUGGGGAUGAUGUCAAGUCAUCACGGCCCUUACGUCUAGGGCUACACACGUGCUACAAUGGUAGAUACAGAGGGAAGCUACUUAGUGAUAAGAUGCGAAUCUCUAAAGUUUAUCUCAGUUCGG
RNAcentral lists this ribosomal RNA (499 nucleotides) under uncultured bacterium. Its description in RNAcentral is "bacterial SSU rRNA". It matches the Rfam family "Bacterial small subunit ribosomal RNA", at positions 791 to 1296 of the family's 1533-position model. The record is from RNAcentral.